CAGGUGGUGCAUGGUUGUCGUCAGCUCGUGUCGUGAGAUGUUGGGUUAAGUCCCGCAACGAGCGCAACCCUUAUUGUUAGUUGCCAUCAUUCAGUUGGGCACUCUAGCGAGACUGCCGGUGACAAACCGGAGGAAGGUGGGGAUGACGUCAAAUCAUCAUGCCCCUUAUGACCUGGGCUACACACGUGCUACAAUGGACGGUACAAUGAGUCGCGAGACCGCGAGGUUUAGCUAAUCUCUUAAAGCCGUUCUCAGUUCGGAUUGUAGGCUG
Molecule: ribosomal RNA, 271 nt
Filed under: Vagococcus sp. A29
Lineage: Bacteria; Bacillati; Bacillota; Bacilli; Lactobacillales; Enterococcaceae
Description: partial 16S ribosomal RNA
Rfam family: Bacterial small subunit ribosomal RNA
Source: RNAcentral